CCUUCCCCUUCGGGGGACAAAGUGACAGGUGGUGCAUGGUUGUCGUCAGCUCGUGUCGUGAGAUGUUGGGUUAAGUCCCGCAACGAGCGCAACCCUUAAGCUUAGUUGCCAGCAUUAAGUUGGGCACUCUAAGUUGACUGCCGGUGACAAACCGGAGGAAGGUGGGGAUGACGUCAAAUCAUCAUGCCCCUUAUGAUUUGGGCUACACACGUGCUACAAUGGACAAUACAAAGGGCAGCUAAACCGCGAGGUCAUGCAAAUCCCAUAAAGUUGUUCUCAGUUCGGAUUGUAGUCUGCAACUCGACUACAUGAAGCUGGAAUCGCUAGUAAUCGUAGAUCAGCAUGCUACGGUGAAUACGUUCCCGGGUCUUGUACACACCGCCCGUCACACCACGAGAGUUUGUAACACCCGAAGCCGGUGGAGUAACCAUUUAUGGAGCUAGCCGUCGAAGGUGGGACAAAUGAUUGGGGUGAAGUCGUAACAAGGUAGCCGUAUCGGAAGGUGCGGCU
This 510-nucleotide ribosomal RNA is filed under the name uncultured bacterium. Its description in RNAcentral is "bacterial SSU rRNA". It matches the Rfam family "Bacterial small subunit ribosomal RNA", at positions 1011 to 1519 of the family's 1533-position model. The record is from RNAcentral.